GAAGUAGGUGAACAAGCUGGAAAGCUUGGCGAUACAGGGUGAUAGCCCCGUAACCGACGCUUCAUCGAGCGUGAAAUCGAGUAGGGCGGGACACGUGAUAUCCUGUCUGAAUAUGGGGGGACCAUCCUCCAAGGCUAAAUACUCCUGACUGACCGAUAGUGAACCAGUACCGUGAGGGAAAGGCGAAAAGAACCCCUGUGAGGGGAGUGAAAUAGAACCUGAAACCGUGUACGUACAAGCAGUAGGAGCACCUUCGUGGUGUGACUGCGUACCUUUUGUAUAAUGGGUCAGCGACUUAUAUUCAGUGGCAAGGUUAACCGUAUAGGGGAGCCGUAGCGAAAGCGAGUCUUAACUGGGCGCUCAGUCUCUGGAUAUAGACCCGAAACCGGGUGAUCUAGCCAUGGGCAGGUUGAAGGUUGAGUAACAUCAACUGGAGGACCGAACCGACUAAUGUUGAAAAAUUAGCGGAUGACUUGUGGCUAGGGGUGAAAGGCCAAUCAAACUCGGAGAUAGCUGGUUCUCCCCGAAAGCUAUUUAGGUAGCGCCUCGGACGAAUACUACUGGGGGUAGAGCACUGUUAAGGCUAGGGGGUCAUCCCGACUUACCAACCCUUUGCAAACUCCGAAUACCAGUAAGUACUAUCCGGGAGACACACGGCGGGUGCUAACGUCCGUCGUGGAGAGGGAAACAACCCAGACCGCCAGCUAAGGUCCCAAAGUAUUGCUAAGUGGGAAACGAUGUGGGAAGGCUCAGACAGCUAGGAUGUUGGCUUAGAAGCAGCCAUCAUUUAAAGAAAGCGUAAUAGCUCACUAGUCGAGUCGGCCUGCGCGGAAGAUGUAACGGGGCUAAGCAAUACACCGAAGCUGCGGCAAUGUCUUUUAGACAUUGGGUAGGGGAGCGUUCUGUAAGCCGUUGAAGGUGUGUGGUAACGCAUGCUGGAGGUAUCAGAAGUGCGAAUGCUGACAUGAGUAACGACAAAGGGGGUGAAAAACCUCCUCGCCGGAAGACCAAGGGUUCCUGUCCAACGUUAAUCGGGGCAGGGUGAGUCGACCCCUAAGGUGAGGCCGAAAGGCGUAAUCGAUGGGAAACGGGUUAAUAUUCCCGUACUUCUGACUAUUGCGAUGGGGGGACGGAGAAGGCUAGGUGGGCCAGGCGACGGUUGUCCUGGUUCAAGUGCGUAGGCUUGAGAGUUAGGUAAAUCCGGCUCUCUUUAAGGCUGAGACACGACGUCGAGCUGCUACGGCAGUGAAGUCAUUGAUGCCAUGCUUCCAGGAAAAGCCUCUAAGCUUCAGAUAGUCAGGAAUCGUACCCCAAACCGACACAGGUGGUCGGGUAGAGAAUACCAAGGCGCUUGAGAGAACUCGGGUGAAGGAACUAGGCAAAAUGGUACCGUAACUUCGGGAGAAGGUACGCUCUUGAUGGUGAAGUCCCUCGCGGAUGGAGCUGACGAGAGUCGCAGAUACCAGGUGGCUGCAACUGUUUAUUAAAAACACAGCACUGUGCAAAAUCGCAAGAUGACGUAUACGGUGUGACGCCUGCCCGGUGCCGGAAGGUUAAUUGAUGGGGUUAGCGUAAGCGAAGCUCUUGAUCGAAGCCCCGGUAAACGGCGGCCGUAACUAUAACGGUCCUAAGGUAGCGAAAUUCCUUGUCGGGUAAGUUCCGACCUGCACGAAUGGCGUAAUGAUGGCCACGCUGUCUCCACCCGAGACUCAGUGAAAUUGAAAUCGCUGUGAAGAUGCAGUGUACCCGCGGCUAGACGGAAAGACCCCGUGAACCUUUACUACAGCUUGGCACUGAACAUUGAACCUACAUGUGUAGGAUAGGUGGGAGGCUAUGAAGACGUGACGCCAGUUGCGUUGGAGCCGUCCUUGAAAUACCACCCUUGUAUGUUUGAUGUUCUAACUUAGACCCAUUAUCUGGGUUGAGGACAGUGCCUGGUGGGUAGUUUGACUGGGGCGGUCUCCUCCCAAAGAGUAACGGAGGAGCACGAAGGUGGGCUAAUCACGGUUGGACAUCGUGAGGUUAGUGCAAUGGCAUAAGCCCGCUUAACUGCGAGAAUGACGGUUCGAGCAGGUGCGAAAGCAGGUCAUAGUGAUCCGGUGGUUCUGUAUGGAAGGGCCAUCGCUCAACGGAUAAAAGGUACUCCGGGGAUAACAGGCUGAUACCGCCCAAGAGUUCAUAUCGACGGCGGUGUUUGGCACCUCGAUGUCGGCUCAUCACAUCCUGGGGCUGAAGUCGGUCCCAAGGGUAUGGCUGUUCGCCAUUUAAAGUGGUACGCGAGCUGGGUUUAGAACGUCGUGAGACAGUUCGGUCCCUAUCUGCCGUGGGCGUUGGAAGAUUGAAGGGGGCUGCUCCUAGUACGAGAGGACCGGAGUGGACGAACCUCUGGUGUUCGGGUUGUGUCGCCAGACGCAUUGCCCGGUAGCUAAGUUCGGAAUUGAUAAGCGCUGAAAGCAUCUAAGCGCGAAGCGAGCCCUGAGAUGAGUCUUCCCUGAUACUUUAAGUAUCCUAAAGGGUUGUUCGAGACUAGAACGUUGAUAGGCAGGGUGUGUAAGCGUUGUGAGGCGUUGAGCUAACCUGUACUAAUUGCCCGUGAGGCUUAACCA
RNAcentral lists this ribosomal RNA (2606 nucleotides) under Vibrio cholerae. RNAcentral's name for it is "partial 23S ribosomal RNA". It matches the Rfam family "Bacterial large subunit ribosomal RNA", at positions 326 to 2925 of the family's 2925-position model. The record is from RNAcentral. Lineage: Bacteria; Pseudomonadati; Pseudomonadota; Gammaproteobacteria; Vibrionales; Vibrionaceae.